GUAGGGUCCGAGCGUUGUCCGGAAUUAUUGGGCGUAAAGGGCUUGUAGGCGGUCUGUUACGUCGGAAGUGAAAACUCAGGGCUUAACCCUGAGCCGGCUUCCGAUACGGGCAGACUAGAGGAAUGCAGGGGAGAAUGGAAUUCCUGGUGGAGCGGUGGAAUGCGCAGAUAUCAGGAGGAACACCGGUGGCGAAGGCGGUUCUCUGGGCAUUUCCUGACGCUGAGAAGCGAAAGCGUGGGGAGCAAACAGGCUUAGAUACCCUGGUAGUCCACGCCGUAAACGGUGGGCACUAGGUGUGGGGAACAUUCCACGUUCUCCGUGCCGAAGCUAACGCAUUAAGUGCCCCGCCUGGGGAGUACGGCCGCAAGGCUAAA
RNAcentral lists this ribosomal RNA (374 nucleotides) under uncultured bacterium. RNAcentral's name for it is "bacterial SSU rRNA". It matches the Rfam family "Bacterial small subunit ribosomal RNA", at positions 527 to 898 of the family's 1533-position model. The record is from RNAcentral.